AGGACGAACGCUGGCGGCGUGCUUAACACAUGCAAGUCGAGCGGAAAGGCCCUUCGGGGUACUCGAGCGGCGAACGGGUGAGUAACACGUGAGCAACCUGCCCUUGGCUCUGGGAUAGCCUCCGGAAACGGGGAUUAAUACCGGACAUUCACUUUCUCCUGCAUGGGGGUUGGUGGAAAGUUUUUCGGCCAGGGAGGGGCUCGCGGCCUAUCAGCUUGUUGGCGGGGUAACGGCCCACCAAGGCGACGACGGGUAGCCGGCCUGAGAGGGCGAUCGGCCACACUGGGACUGAGACACGGCCCAGACUCCUACGGGAGGCAGCAGUGGGGAAUAUUGCACAAUGGGCGCAAGCCUGAUGCAGCGACGCCGCGUGGGGGAUGAAGGCCUUCGGGUUGUAAACCCCUUUCACCAGGAGCGAAUUCAGACGGUACCUGGGGAAGAAGCGCCGGCUAACUACGUGCCAGCAGCCGC
This 471-nucleotide ribosomal RNA is filed under the name uncultured bacterium. Its description in RNAcentral is "SSU rRNA". It matches the Rfam family "Bacterial small subunit ribosomal RNA", at positions 26 to 518 of the family's 1533-position model. The record is from RNAcentral.